UGGGGAAUAUUGCACAAUUGGGGAAACCCUGAUGCAGCGACGCCGCGUGAACGAAGAAGGUAUUCGUAUCGUAAAGUUCUGUCCUAUGGGAAGAUAAUGACAGUACCAUAGAAGAAAGCUCCGGCUAAAUACGUGCCAGCAGCCGCGGUAAUACGUAUGGAGCGAGCGUUGUCCGGAAUUAUUGGGCGUAAAGGGUACGCAGGCGGUUUAAUAAGUCGAAUGUUAAAGAUCGGGGCUCAACCCCGCAAAGCAUUGGAAACUGAUAAACUUGAGUAGUGGAGAGGAAAGUGGAAUUCCUAGUGUAGUGGUGAAAUACGUAGAUAUUAGGAGGAAUACCAGUAGCGAAGGCGACUUUCUGGACACAAACUGACGCUGAGGUACGAAAGCGUGGGGAGCAAACAGG
RNAcentral lists this ribosomal RNA (403 nucleotides) under bacterium. Its description in RNAcentral is "partial 16S ribosomal RNA". It matches the Rfam family "Bacterial small subunit ribosomal RNA", at positions 355 to 776 of the family's 1533-position model. The record is from RNAcentral.